GGAUUGACACAUCGGUCGUGCCUUAAGGGGUAUGAACUGGCGUAGCCAAUUCCUCACCUUCUGGUGAAUUGUGAUGCCUCUUUAACUGGGUGUUUCAAUGAACUAGGACUUUUACUUUGAAAAAAUUAGAGUGUUUAAAGCAGGCAUUUUGCUUGAAUACAUUAGCAUGGAAUAAUAAAAUAGGACGGAUGGUUCUAUUUUGUUGGUUUCUAGGAUCACCGUA
RNAcentral lists this ribosomal RNA (223 nucleotides) under uncultured Entrophospora. RNAcentral's name for it is "uncultured Claroideoglomus partial small subunit ribosomal RNA". The stretch from base 93 to 223 matches the Rfam family "Eukaryotic small subunit ribosomal RNA", at positions 733 to 864 of the family's 1831-position model. Lineage: Eukaryota; Fungi; Glomeromycota; Glomeromycetes; Entrophosporales; Entrophosporaceae. The record is from RNAcentral.